This 155-nucleotide ribosomal RNA is filed under the name uncultured bacterium. RNAcentral describes it as "partial 16S rRNA". It matches the Rfam family "Bacterial small subunit ribosomal RNA", at positions 355 to 507 of the family's 1533-position model. The record is from RNAcentral.
UAAGGAAUAUUGGUCAAUGGACGGAAGUCUGAACCAGCCAUGCCGCGUGCAGGACGACUGCCCUAUGGGUUGUAAACUGCUUUUAUACGGGAACAAACCCCUAUACGUGUAUAGGGCUGAGUGUACUGUAGGAAUAAGGAUCGGCUAACUCCGUG